AGCACAUUCAAGCUCGGCUUGGUGAUGGGUGUCUGUCCCGCCUCUCGCGCGCGGACUCGCCUCAAAAACAGUUGGCAGCUUCCAUCUUUCGGUCUCAAACGCAGCAGACUUGCGUCGGAACCCGCGGAAAGAGGCUCUCCAAUAAGCAAAACGGCAC
This 157-nucleotide unclassified non-coding RNA is filed under the name uncultured Ascomycota. RNAcentral's name for it is "sequence contains ITS2". RNAcentral also lists the same sequence under 1 other name. The record is from RNAcentral. Lineage: Eukaryota; Fungi; Ascomycota.